AAUUGAAGAGAACGACUGCUUGUGAUGUACUCUCUUUUUGCCCUAGCAUAGUUAUAUCACAGUGGCUGUUCUUUUUAAUU
This 80-nucleotide microRNA precursor is filed under the name Musca domestica (house fly). RNAcentral describes it as "mir-6 microRNA precursor family". It matches the Rfam family "mir-6 microRNA precursor family". From Rfam's summary of the family: This family consists of the microRNA (miRNA) precursor mir-6 which appears to be Drosophila specific. Animal miRNAs are transcribed as ~70nt precursors and subsequently processed by the Dicer enzyme to give a ~22nt product. Lineage: Eukaryota; Metazoa; Arthropoda; Insecta; Diptera; Muscidae. The record is from Rfam by way of RNAcentral.